This 244-nucleotide long non-coding RNA is filed under the name Nicotiana benthamiana. RNAcentral describes it as "long non-coding RNA (NBEN_LNC016807)". Lineage: Eukaryota; Viridiplantae; Streptophyta; Magnoliopsida; Solanales; Solanaceae. The record is from RNAcentral.
GUAUGUUACAAUGGUUAAAGUAUCAAAGAAUGACAGGUACAUGGGAAACAGAAGUGCAAUGGUUAACUACUAAUGUUAACAACAGAAAUCCCAGAAAAACCAUCCUAGGUGUGGUGUUUGCAGCAGUAGUUUACAACAUCUGGAUGGAAAGGAACAACAGAAGGUUUCAACAAUCAAGCAGAGAUGCCAAAGAUCGAGCAAAGGAGAUUACACUUCAAGUGCACUUUACUGGCAUAAAGCUAUC